Molecule: ribosomal RNA, 840 nt
Filed under: uncultured bacterium
Lineage: Bacteria
Description: bacterial SSU rRNA
Rfam family: Bacterial small subunit ribosomal RNA
Source: RNAcentral
GGAGACUGGAAUUCCUGGUGUAGCGGUGGAAUGCGCAGAUAUCAGGAGGAACACCAAUGGCGAAGGCAGGUCUCUGGGCCAAUACUGACACUGAGGAGCGAAGGUCUGGGGAGCAAACAGGAUUAGAUACCCUGGUAGUCCAGACCGUAAACGGUGGGCACUAGUUGUGGGAACCUUCCACGGUUUCUGCGACGCAGCUAACGCAUUAAGUGCCCCGCCUGGGGAGUACGAUCGCAAGAUUAAAACUCAAAGGAAUUGACGGGGCCCCGCACAAGCAGCGGAGCAUGCGGCUUAAUUCGACGCAACGCGAAGAACCUUACCAAGGCUUGACAUAUAGGGAAAAGUGGCAGAGAUGUCAUGUCCGCAAGGGCUCUAUACAGGUGGUGCAUGGUUGUCGUCAGCUCGUGUCGUGAGAUGUUGGGUUAAGUCCCGCAACGAGCGCAACCCUCGUUCUGUGUUGCCAGCAUUUAGUUGGGGACUCACAGGAGACUGCCGGGGUUAACUCGGAGGAAGGUGGGGAUGACGUCAAAUCAUCAUGCCCCUUAUGUCUUGGGCUGCACGCAUGCUACAAUGGCCGGUACAGAGGGCUGCAAUACCGCAAGGUGGAGCGAAUCCCAAAAAGCCGGUCUCAGUUCGGAUUGAGGUCUGCAACUCGACCUCAUGAAGUUGGAGUUGCUAGUAAUCGUAGAUCAGCAACGCUACGGUGAAUACGUUCCCGGGGCUUGUACACACCGCCCGUCACGUCACGAAAGUCGGUAACACCCAAAGUCAGUGGCCCAACCGCAAGGGGGGAGCUGCCUAAGGUGGGAUCGGUGAUUGGGACGAAGUCGUAACAAGGUA